GGAGAGAUGGCUGAGUGGUUGAUAGCCCCGG
This 31-nucleotide transfer RNA is filed under the name Empetrum nigrum (black crowberry). Its description in RNAcentral is "partial tRNA-Ser". Lineage: Eukaryota; Viridiplantae; Streptophyta; Magnoliopsida; Ericales; Ericaceae. The record is from RNAcentral.